This 253-nucleotide ribosomal RNA is filed under the name uncultured bacterium. RNAcentral's name for it is "partial 16S ribosomal RNA". It matches the Rfam family "Bacterial small subunit ribosomal RNA", at positions 524 to 776 of the family's 1533-position model. The record is from RNAcentral.
UACGGGGGGUGCGAGCGUUGUCCGGAAUCACUGGGCGUAAAGGGCGCGUAGGUGGUUUGAUACGGGUGUGGUGAAAGUCCGGGGCUCAACCCCGGAUCUGCCGUGCCGACUGUCAAACUCGAGGACUGUAGAGGCAGACGGAAUUCCGGGUGUAGCGGUGGAAUGCGUAGAGAUCCGGAGGAAGACCGGUGGCGAAGGCGGUCUGCUGGGCAGUUUCUGACACUGAGGCGCGACAGCGUGGGGAGCAAACAGG